UUUUUUUUAUUUUCCCACUGUACAGCAAGGGGGUCAGGUUAUCCUUACAUGUAUACAUUACAAUUACAUUUUUUCCCCCACCCUUUGUUCUGUUGCAACAUGAGUAUCUAGACAUAGUUCUCAAUGCUAUUCAGCAGGAUCUCCUUGUAAAUCUAUUCUAAGUUGUGUCUGAUAAGCCCAAGCUCCCGAUCCCUCCCACUCCCUCCCCCUCCCAUCAGGCAGCCACAAGUCUCUUCUCCAAGUCCAUGAUUUUCUUUUCUGAGGAGAUGUUCAUUUGUGCUGGAUAUUAGAUUCCAGUUAUAAGUGAUAUCAUAUGGUAUUUGUCUUUGUCUUUCUGGCUCAUUUCACUCAGGAUGAGAGUCUCUAGUUCCAUCCAUGUUGCUGCAAAUGGCAUUAUGUCCUUCUUUUUUAUGGCUGAGUAGUAUUCCAUUGUGUAUAUAUACCACCUCUUCCGAAUCCAAUCGUCUUUUGAUGGACAUUUGGGUCGUUUCCAUGUCCUGGCUAUUGUGAAUAGUGCUGCAAUGAACAUGCGGGUGCCUGUGUCUCUUUUAAGGAGUUUUGUCCAGAUAGAUGCCCAAGAGUGGGAUUGUGGGGUCAUAUGGAAGUUCUAUGUAUAGAUUUCUAAGGUAUCUCCAAACUGUUCUCCAUAGUGGCUGUACCAGUUGACAUUCCCACCAACAGUGCAGGAGGGUUGCCUUUUCUCCACAGCCCCUCCAGCACUUGUUAUUUGUCGAUUUAUUAAUGAUGGCCAUUCUGACUGGUGUGAGGUGAUAUCUCAUGGUAGUUUUGAUUUGCAUUUCUCUUAUAACCAGCGAUGUUGAGCAUUUUUUCAUGUGUUUGUUGGCCAUCUGUAUAUCUUCUUUGGAGAAAGGUCUAUUCAGGUCUUUUGCCCAUUUUUCCAUUGAUUGAUUGGUUUUUUUGCUGUUGAGUUGUAUAAGUUGCUUAUAUAUUCUAGAGAUUAAGCCCUUGUCAGUUGCAUCAUUUGAAACUAUUUUCUCCCAUUCUGUAAGUUGUCUUUUUGUUUUCUUUUGGGUUUCCUUUGCUGUGCAAAAGCUUUUCAGUUUGAUGAGGUCCCAUGGGUUUAUUUUUGCUCUAAUUUCUAUUGCUUUGGGAGACUGACCUGAGAAAAUAUUCAUGAUGUUGAUGUCAGAGAGUGUUUUGCCUAUGUUUUCUUCUAGGAGUUUGAUGGUGUCCUGUCGUAUAUUUAAGUCUUUCAGCCAUUUUGAGUUUAUUUUUGUGCAUGGUGUGAGGGUGUGUUCUAGUUUCAUUGCUUUGCAUGCAGCUGUCCAGGUUUCCCAGCAAUGCUUGCUGAAUAGACUUUCUUUUUCCCAUUUGAUGUUCUUGCCUCCCUUGUCAAAGAUUAAUUGACCAUAGGUGUCAGGGUUUAUUUCCGGAUUCUCUCUUCUGUUCCAUUGGUCUGUCUGUCUGUUUUGGUACCAAUUGGUUUAUUUUUGCUUUUAUUUCUGUUGCUUUGGGAGACUGACCUGAGAAAACAUUUGUAAGGUUGAUGUCAGAGAAUGUUUUGCCUAUGUUCUCUUCCAGGAGUUUGAUUGUGUCUUGUCUUAUAUGUAAGUCUUUCAACCAUUUUGAGUUCCUUCAUCUGUUGAUAGAUGCUUAGGUUGUUUCUAUAUCUUGGCUAUCGUGACUAUUGCUAAAAUGAACAUGGGUGCAUGGAUCUUUUUGAAUUAUAGUUUUGUCUGGAUAUAUGCCCAGGAGUGGGACUGCUGGAUCAUCUGACAGUUCUAUAUUUAGUUUUCUUAGGAUCCUCCAUACUUUUGGUACCAAUUUACAUUCUCACAAAGAGUAGUGAAGAGUUGCCUUUUUCCACACCUUUCCGGCAUUUAUUAUUUGUAGACUUAUUAAUUAUGGCUAUUCUGGAUGCUAUGAGGUGGAAUGUCAUUGUAGUUUUCAUUUUCAUUUCUCUAAUAAUCAGUGAUGUUGAGCAUUUUUUCAUAUGCCUACUUACCAUCCAUAUGUCUUUGGAGAAAUGUCUAUUUGGUCUUCUACCUAUUUUUAUAUUGGGUUGUUUGGUUUCUUUUGUUAAAUUGUAUGAGUUGUUUGUAUAUUUGGAGAUUGAGCCCUUGACAUAUGCAUCUUUCGCAAUUAUUUCUCCCAUUCCAUAGACUGUCUUUUUGUAUUUUUCAUUGUUUCCUUUGCUGUACAAAAGCUUGUAAGUUUACUUAGGUCCCAUUUGUUUAUUUUUAUUUUUAUUCCUAUUUUGGGAAAACAUUUCUACACAUUUUUCCUGUAUGAACAUAUACACCUAACAAAUACUGUAUUAAAACAAUAAAUAAGUAAUAAAUAAUAAGGAAUACUAGAGUGAGAGAAUCCUUUGCAGACGUAUUUUCUGAACCUGAAAGUAGCUUCCCUCCAUUUUCCACAAAUAUUUAUGGACUUACCUGUUUAAAUUACCUUGAGUUUUCCACCAGCAACAUAAUAGAUAUAAUAUAAUGGUAGUAUGUAGUAUGACAUCACUGCUAUUUGUGAUGACAGUUUGAUGUCAUCUGGUCAGAAGGUACUGAGACUAAAAAGAUGAGACUCUAUCUAACAGGUGUUAAAUAACCAACAAUUCCUGGCAUUAUAGAUCAUAUAGAAAAGGGAAUUAUCAUGAUUAAAUUUAAAGCAUUUGCUUAAAUAUUACAUAUGAUAGUAAAAACUAGUCGGGCCAAUUAUGAGUUAUAUAAAACAUUAAAUAAGGCAGAAUUAUCUCAACAGUUUGAAAAAAAAAAGUUUUGCCUUAAUAUGUUAUGAUUUCCAAGGCACAUUGAUUUCAUUUCAAAAAUGGAGUAUUAAUAAUUGAAGGCAAGAGAGAUGAAGUUUUUGAAAUUUUAUAGUUUCCCAGAAAACUGCGGGCCUGAGUAAAAAUCAUGAUUAAUUUAAAACUUACUAUAAUUCACCGAACCUAUUCUAAUAAAUUGAAUAUCAUUUAGGCUGUGGUUCUAGUUCAAUAAAUAACAUUUUAUUGGACCAUAUUAUAUUAAAAAUGCAGCUUUUCUAUCCACAAAUAAAUAUGUAUUUAAUUGCUUUACUUUUCAAAAUUAUAAAUGAGGUUCAAUUUUGUACUAAUCAUAAUUGUCACAGGAAGGGUAAAAGAGGAACUCGACAUGCAAAAAUUUACAAAGAUGAUGUUUAUUGCUACAUAAUUUAUAAUAAAGGAAACCUGAAGGGGAAGAAAAGCUAAUGCAAAAAAGUGUGAUGAGAUGCAUAUACAAAAGCGGAUAAGUGUGUGUGUGCCUGUGUAUUUCAUGGUAGGAUUAUUGUCUUUGAGUUCCCUGAGCACUCUCAUCUCUGUGCUAUAGGUUGGAGGACUUUCUAGGGAAGAAGAAUCAAAGGAAGAGUUGAAUGGGUGGGUCUGUUUUUAGGGCCAAGGGAGAAGUGUAUUACAAGAUAGGCACCGUGGCUUCAGCAAACCCUAUGUGGAGCUAAAAUGAUGCAUCAGAAAUGUCCUGCAUUGGGCCCAAAGGACCCAGCUCCUGACUCAAGCACUUAUUAGUUGUGGCCUGCUCUGUUAUUGGGUAUGAACUAGACCAAGCCAGCUCUCUGCAGCUGAGGCAGUUCCAGCAGUGCCUGCCAACACUCAACUACUGGGACAACAAAUCUUUCUAUGACAGAGCAUUAGGAUAUAACAUCUCCUUCUCUUCUACACUCUCUAAUUUGAAUUUAGAUAUGUGUAUAGUUAUUACACAUUAUUAUUCCAUUAUUACACUAAUUGUACCAAAUGAAUAAAAUUAAAACCACACUACUACAUCCAAAAAUAUUCAUAAAUGAAUAAAAUUAAAACCACACUAUUACAUCCAAAAAUAUUCAUAAAUGUGUUACUUUAAGAAACUUUCUGCCAUAGCAGGUAUGUUCCACCACUCAUUGAGAGAAAAUAUUUUACAACUGCAAGAUAUGUAAAGCUAUCUGUUACAGGUUGAAUAUGCUACCAGGAAGAUAUUUCCCCAAAGCAAAAAACAAACAAACAACUCUUCCACUACAGCCUUAUUUGCUACUUGAACAAACAUGCUUAUCUACAAAACAGAUAGUCUUAAAUUUGUAUAAGCAGAGGAUUAAAACAGUUUUUUAAUCUAACAUUGCCACUAUGUAUACAAUGCUUGCUAAUUGUAUUUUAAAAAUUAAGACAGUGAUAUUUAUCAUAUACCAAAUUAUUGAUCCGUGGGUCACUCAAACAUUGGUUUGAUUAUCUAGAUCAUCAGUAAGUAAAGACUGAGAAACUGUCUAGGCCUAUUGUGCAUUUUAUCAAGGUGUUUCAGUUUGAAAAAAGAGUAAUGUGUUUUUAUCACUAAAUAACUAUUUUCCACAUGGAAUACACACACAGACACACACAAAGUAUAAUACUGAUGGGCUACAUAAAGGUAUACAAGUAGAACAAUUCUGGAGAUUUACUCACUUGGCAAAAGAUUAGGAAACCUGGUAGUUCCUGCUAUAGCACAGUGGGUUAGGACUCCAACUGCAAUGGCUCAGGUUGCUGCAGAGGCAUGGGUUCAAUACCUGGCUGGGUUCAGAGGAUUAAAGGAUCCAGCAUGGUCACAAUGCAGCAUAGGUUGCAGCUGUGGCUAGGAUUCAAUCCCUGGCCGAUGAACUUCCAUAUUCCAUGGAUGCAGCUACAAAAAUUUAGGAAAUUUAUAAUGUGGAAUAUAUAUUUAAAAGCUAUAAAUGCUUAGUAUAACAACAGAUUUAACAUAACAAAAUGAAAAGGUUUGAUAUCUUAGUCUCAGGGCUAGUGUUACACCAUAAAAGGAAGUCACAACUUAAAAAAUACUGGCAAUAUAAGAAAAAUAAUAUAGCUGUUUUAUUCAUAUGUUUUUUUAAUCACACUAAUUUAUUGUUAGUUUAAGUGUAGAAUACAAACAUUGAAGUACAAAUAUUGGGAAUUCAUCAGCAUUCUUUCAAGGCAUCUUUCCUCUCAAUAAAGUAAGUUUGGUGUAUGAAUUUCUUAUAAUGUGAGUAAACAACUUCCUAAAAUGAGUGGGCAAAUAAUAGAAUAUUCAAUUUUAUGUAUUAAUUAAAUUAGCAGAGAUUGUUAUAUAUUCACAUGUGUGGUCACUGUAUAGCCUUGAAGAGAGAAACAUUUUUCAUCAGGUAAGUCACUCAAGGUAGCAAUCUUUCUUAAAUUUCAAUCUAAAAGAAGCAAUAUUUUAAAAUAUAAGACAAUGAAAACUGUAUUACAAAAUGGAAAGAUUUAUUGGAGAAAGUGCUGAGGAGAUUCAGAGUAAAUCUGUCCCUUUAAUAAAAUUCUCCAGCCAUCAUCCAAAAUACACAUGCUGGUACAUUUUACUUUCUUACAUGGUGGUAUAUUUCUUGGGUUAUGUUGUAACUUAGCAAUAAAAUCAGGGUCAAUGAGGUGCCCACUUUUUAGCUGAGUGAUGUUGAGCAAGGAAUUUGGGUUCUCCCAACCCUGAUUUCUUCAUCAAACAGAAAUAAUAAAAAUAUAAUAAUAAUCCAUAUAGGGUCAUUGCCUGUAAUGCAUGUACCAUCAUAAAUGGUCCUUUUUACUUACUAUUAUUUUUGUUUGUUUGAUUUGGCUCCAUCUGUGGCAUAUGGAAGUUCUGGGGCCAGAGAGCCAACCCAUGCCAUGGCAGUGAUAAUGCUGGAUCCUAAAUACCAUGAGCCACCAGGGAACUAUGCGGCUAUUAUUUUUAUUUGCAUUUUUUCACAUAGAAAAUACUGGUCAUUUUUGAGGAAAUAUGUUGUAAAUGUAAAAAAAAAAAAAAAGAUAUCUGUUAAGAGUCACCCACCUUGUUAUAUCAUUUCCCUUACUCAUAGGGAUACUGUAUUCUCUGUCACAUC
This 5790-nucleotide long non-coding RNA is filed under the name Sus scrofa (pig). Its description in RNAcentral is "lncRNA (ENSSSCG00040071601.1)". Lineage: Eukaryota; Metazoa; Chordata; Mammalia; Artiodactyla; Suidae. The record is from RNAcentral.